This is a small nucleolar RNA of Dioscorea cayenensis subsp. rotundata (Guinea yam), 107 nucleotides long. Lineage: Eukaryota; Viridiplantae; Streptophyta; Magnoliopsida; Dioscoreales; Dioscoreaceae. The record is from RefSeq and is a predicted model, not a curated record.
AGGUUAUUGUGUGGACACCUCCUUAACAGAUCUUUGAACCUCUCCUAAGCCUCAAAUAAUGACUCAAAAUUUGACUGAAUAAACAACGUGAUCUCCUAUCGCAGCUU